UACGGGGGGGGCAAGCGUUGUUCGGAAUUACUGGGCGUAAAGGGCUCGUAGGCGGCCAACUAAGUCAGACGUGAAAUCCCCAGGCUCAACCUGGGAACUGCGUCUGAUACUGGAUGGCUUGAAUCCGGGAGAGGGAUGCAGAAUUCCAGGUGUAGCGGUGAAAUGCGUAGAUAUCUGGAGGAACACCGGUGGCGAAGGCGGCAUCCUGGACCGGUAUUGACGCUGAGGCGCGAAAGCUAGGGGAGCAAACGGG
Molecule: ribosomal RNA, 253 nt
Filed under: uncultured bacterium
Lineage: Bacteria
Description: partial 16S ribosomal RNA
Rfam family: Bacterial small subunit ribosomal RNA
Source: RNAcentral